Molecule: transfer-messenger RNA, 399 nt
Filed under: Puniceicoccales bacterium
Lineage: Bacteria; Pseudomonadati; Verrucomicrobiota; Opitutia; Puniceicoccales
Rfam family: transfer-messenger RNA
About the family: Bacterial tmRNA, also known as 10Sa RNA or SsrA, is named for its dual tRNA and mRNA-like properties. Its role is to liberate the mRNA from a stalled ribosome.
Source: RNAcentral
GGGGGCGUAUGGAUUCGAUCCCGCGAAGCAAGACGGCGCGGCGUGCCGGAGAUGGACAGUUGGCUCCGUUAUCAAUCUGUCCAAAUGUCGUAACUGGCAAAAACAAAAUCAUUAGAGGUCUCAAGUUCGGUUCUUCGGAGCUGGUCCUUGCGGCUGCCUAAUAUCCUGCCGCUCUCAGCAGCGGCACGUCGCGGGGGCUGACUGCUCGCUAGGCUUUCGCGGCGUACAGCAGCGGGCGGGGCCGGGGGCUGUGCGUACCCACGGUCGCAUUUUACGCACUCGCCUCUGCGACCUGGCCACGGCAGAUCGCACGGGGUUAAACGAAAGCCGCGGCUACGCACGUAGAAACACCGUCCGAGAGCGCGGGAGACGCGGGUUCGACUCCCGCCGCCUCCACCA